GGGCCCGUAGCUCAGCCUGGUUAGAGCACCCGGCUGAUAACCGGGGGGUCCGGGGUUCAAAUCCCCGCGGGCCCACCA
Molecule: transfer RNA, 78 nt
Filed under: Desulfurococcaceae archaeon
Lineage: Archaea; Thermoproteati; Thermoproteota; Thermoprotei; Desulfurococcales; Desulfurococcaceae
Also listed under: 2 other names
Description: tRNA-Ile
Rfam family: tRNA
About the family: Transfer RNA (tRNA) molecules are approximately 80 nucleotides in length. Their secondary structure includes four short double-helical elements and three loops (D, anti-codon, and T loops). Further hydrogen bonds mediate the characteristic L-shaped molecular structure. tRNAs have two regions of fundamental functional importance: the anti-codon, which is responsible for specific mRNA codon recognition, and the 3' end, to which the tRNAs corresponding amino acid is attached (by aminoacyl-tRNA synthetases). tRNAs cope with the degeneracy of the genetic code in two manners: having more than one tRNA (with a specific anti-codon) for a particular amino acid; and 'wobble' base-pairing, i.e. permitting non-standard base-pairing at the 3rd anti-codon position.
Source: RNAcentral